RNAcentral lists this non-coding RNA (118 nucleotides) under Aminomonas paucivorans. The record is from RNAcentral. RNAcentral also lists the same sequence under 1 other name. Lineage: Bacteria; Thermotogati; Synergistota; Synergistia; Synergistales; Synergistaceae.
AGGAAGCCGGUGCAAAGCCGGCACAGCCCCGCUACGGUAAGGAGGACGACGUGCGGACGAUCGCCACGGGGGGACCCCUGGAAGGCCCGCACGGAGGAGGAUUCCAAGUCCGGAUACU